Molecule: unclassified non-coding RNA, 2426 nt
Filed under: Stegodyphus dumicola
Lineage: Eukaryota; Metazoa; Arthropoda; Arachnida; Araneae; Eresidae
Description: uncharacterized LOC118179670, transcript variant X5
Source: RNAcentral
CUAUUGCUAUUUUAAAUGUAGUAUAGUGUAAUUAUGUAACUAUACAGUUUUGUUAUCUUUCAGGUUGAAGAUGUUAUGUGCUAUGAAAGUACGCAGUGUACUGUAGUUGGUCAAGAGUCUUCAUGUACUAGAUAUUCUCAUUAUAAAUUAUAUAAAAUUGGUUUAAAAACAGUGCAGAUCAAGCAAGAAAAGGAAGUCCUGUGGAUAAAAGCUAUAUUUAGUUCACAUAUCGUUAUUAAAUAUGGCAAUGAAGGUAAUUUAUCUAGUUUCAUUUUGAAAAUAUCUCUUGAACAAGACAAAAUGCAAAUUUGCUACAAUUUUGUGAUUCCAUUUUCAUCACUUCUUCUUAAUGAAUUCCACCAUUCAAGUAUGUUUCUCAGAAAUAGGGAUAGGAGAAAAAAGAACAAAAGCAUGAGGCAUCACAGUCUGGUACAGGAAUUCAAAACUAGCUCAUGAAGAGAGGGAAUACUUGGAUGAAAAAAUAGAUAAGUUUUUUUUUUUUUUUUCCCUUUCUUCUUCUGAACAGGACGUUGUGUUAAGUAAAUUAGGUGGACUAGAAUUAACUGAUACAAAAUGUCACAAAAGCAAAAGGAAAUCUCGUUAAAAGAUAAAACCUAAAUCUUUAAAGAAUUUGAUGAGAAUAAUGGUUCAACAAAAGUUUAGUUAGCAAAGAAAAUAGGCAUUCCUAUGACAACACUAAAAACAGUUCUUUAUGAGAGGGAAAAAAGGUUGAAGAAAGAGCAGAAAUUGUGAGAGUCCACUUUCAAAGAAAUUGCAUGUUCAAGAUGAAAAGCUUUCUGAGAUCACAGCCAUUUUGCUAAAACUUUUCCUUUAGUGUCAGUCCAAUAUUGCAGUGAAUGCCUCAUAUUAAGUCAAAAGAAAGAGCACUUUGAUUAAAUGUGAAGGAAGUUUGCUUUUCAACUGGAUGCAUAAAUUUAAACUGUGGCAUAUAAUCUCAGAUCAUGUAAUAAACGGAGAAUCAAAAAACAUUCCUGCUGAGUCAGUUGAAGAGUGGUUCGAGAACUUAUCUGCCAAAACAGUUGAAUAUGUAUUAAAAGAUAUUUUACAAUGCUGAUGAAAGUGUUCAUUUCUUUAAACUUAAAUGCCUGCUUUUUUACAGCUUGCAAAGGUGACCAUGGAACUAAGAAUGAGUUUGAAGGAGAUGUAAAGGUCUUUUGUUUUACCUUAUGCAGAUGCUGAUGGUAUGGAAAACAUGACUCCUGAAAUGAAAUGAUGAGUUCUUUUUCCUCCUUUGUAAUGAAAAAAUGACAAAAGUCACAAAAACAGGGUGCUUCAAGCAUGUUAAAGCUCUGCUAUUAGAAUAUAAAGAAAAUGAGGAAGCAUGGAUGACUACAGAUGUUUUUACAGAAUGGCUCAAGAAAAUAGGAAAAGCAUAAAAGUGUACCUUUUAUGGAUCAGUUUACCGCCCAUCCUGAAACAACAGAUUUCUUCCUAAAUGUGAAAGUUAUUUUCUGCUGGGCAAAUUAUAGUAGUGUUUAGAUCAUGUGUCAUUAAGAAUUUGAAAGUUUUUUGCAGUCAAAUAUUGAUUCAAAUAGUCCUUCAAAAUAUAACUAUAGGAAUUGCUACGAAUAUGAUUUCACUUGCCUGGACUUGAGCAAAAUUACAAAUAAUUAAAAAUUUUUUUAUUAAAGAGGGAUUUUCGAAAUCAGAGUCAAGUGAAAGUGUUGACUAUGAAAAUGAUAAUGAAACUGGAAUUAUGGAUGAAGAAAAUUAGAAAUUAUGGGUUUAGAAAUUACAAUCGAAGAACAUGUUAACUGUGAUGGUAGUGUAAUGAUGUAUCUUUACAUAAUUAAAAAACUAAUUAAAACCAUUUUACAAGAUGAACAUUUAAGUAGCAGGGAUGAAGAAGAAAAUGAAGAAAUAAUCCCCUUCUUUUUAAAAUGCUAUCUAUUCAUUUGCACCCUCAGAAAUUUCUUUGUGUGUAAUUAUACAAAUAAGGAAACAUUUCAAGAACUUAAUUCAAUUCAUAACACUUUGUGUAAAAUUCAGAAUCAAAAGAAACAUCAAGUGAUAAUUUAAGGCCUUUUUCUUUAAAAAAUGUUACUUGUUCAGGGUGGUAAUUUAAAUAAAGGAUAUUUUUUAUCUGCCAUGUUUUAAGUAUCCUAAUUAUUUAACUGAUCGUCUGAAUAUCCAGAUGGCAGUGUACUACAAAAGUAGUAGUGGAAGCUUUGAGAUACUCAUUUUAAAACAAGGUGUGCAGAUAUUCUUGGCAAAAACCUCGAGUAAUGAUUAACUGCAGCAGAAAACACUUUAAAAGUUGUGAAAAUUACUCUAUUAAUAAGAGAUGACCCAUAAUGUAAUGCUGUAGUGCAUUCUUCUAGCUUCAUAUUCCAAGCAGACUAAUUGUCCAUGUGUUUGCUGUAAACUGUGUCCUCAAUGGGAAAAAAGGAUCUUAACAUUUCAGA